RNAcentral lists this ribosomal RNA (433 nucleotides) under uncultured bacterium. RNAcentral describes it as "partial 16S ribosomal RNA". It matches the Rfam family "Bacterial small subunit ribosomal RNA", at positions 29 to 507 of the family's 1533-position model. The record is from RNAcentral.
AACGAACGCUGGCGGCAUGCCUAACACAUGCAAGUCGAACGAGACCUUCGGGUCUAGUGGCGCACGGGUGCGUAACGCGUGGGAACCUGCCCUUAGGUUCGGAAUAACUCCCCGAAAGGGGUGCUAAUACCGGAUAAUGUCUUCGGACCAAAGACUUAUCGCCUUUGGAUGGGCCCGCGUUGGAUUAGCUAGUUGGUAGGGUAAAAGCCUACCAAGGCGACGAUCCAUAGCUGGUCGGUGAGGAUGAUCAGCAACGCUGGGACUGAGACACGGCCCAGCCUCCUACGGGAGGCAGCAGUGGGGAAUAUUGGACGAUGGGCGAAGGCCUGAUCAAGCAGUGCCGCGUGAGUGAUGAAGGCCUUAGGGUUGUAAAGCUCUUUUAGCCGGGAUGAUAAUGACAGUACCGGGAGAAUAAGCUCCGGCUAACUCCGUG